GACAUCGAAUCAGACAGUUUA
RNAcentral lists this microRNA (21 nucleotides) under Schmidtea mediterranea. RNAcentral describes it as "sme-miR-8a-5p". Its record names the gene sme-miR-8a-5p. Lineage: Eukaryota; Metazoa; Platyhelminthes; Tricladida; Dugesiidae. The record is from miRBase by way of RNAcentral.